UCUGGUCAAGUCCCACCACCGAACGCGUGCUCUCUCUAUCCUUAUCCCUUCUAAUCUCUCUCUAAAUCAUCAGGGACACGGGAGAUCGACGUGGAGUAGGCGCAUCGCCGGAAGCUCUGCCAGGCCGGCGCCGACGAGCGUGUCAUGGGAGGUUCCGCCAGGAUGCGUCCGACGAGCGCGAAGAGGCGUCUCGCGUUGCAGGAGGCUCCGCUAGGCCGCCGCCGCCGACGAGCACGGCGAGGCCCGUCGGCGGAGGCUCCGCCGGGACGUCUACGUUGAGCACGAUGAGGCGCGUCACGGGGAGGAUGGCGCCAGGCCGCCGUCGAAUAUGCCACCUUGCCGCCAACGACCAUGAGCCGUGAGGAGGAGGCGGGUCGCUGGGAGGACUCCGACAGGAGGCCAUCGACUCCUCCACACCUGCCGCACCACACCUUCCGCAGACGAGCUCAUGAGGAGGAGCGGAGUAGGCUCCCGUGCUUUGCUGGUGCGGAGCAAAAAAGAAUUGGGAUUCUUCCAUGGUGAGAUCUCUACUCUGGCCGCUGGCGGUGGAUUCCGGUUCCUACAUCCCCAAAUUAGCACAGGGAGACUCUUAUAUGUGUUUAACGGCAGUGGCUCGCUCGACCUCUCCUAAUCUUUUUCUCCCAAUUGAUCCUCUCGUGCGCCAGCUUUGUCUAAAGCACCAACAGAAAUGGGAACGCCACAGAUGCACAACCAAAGGUACUACUCCCUCGCUGGUGUAGCUGCAAUGAACAUGUUUGAUAGAAUGCCUCACAGGUGCUAACUCCCAUUUUUUUUGGUUGCUCUUUUCCUCUAUUCUUGUUGUAGUUAAACUACUUAUCUUAGGCUGAAUUGUCACACGAGUGUAGCUGCAGCUAGCAAGAUUAAUGGUAUGCUUGCUGCAAAAAGAGUGGAAUUAAUAUCACCGGGGAAAUAGUGUGUUUAUGCGAGCGGCAGCAGCGUACCCAUGUUGUACCUAUGUGAUGUCUCUAUCUCUCUCUCUUUUCUUUUAUUUCUUUUAAGUCAUGUGUUAAGCAUCAUUUACUUGUUGUGGAUUAGAAUUUUGUGAUGGAUAUGCGAGGGCUUUGAUUUUUGUGUGAUAGGUAUAUGUACAAUUUAAUGUUGUUCUCAAGAACAGUGAUUUAUAGUUAUGUCCGAGAAUUUGACAACGUAAUGACAGCUAAUGUUUCAUAAUUAUAUCAUACUAUGCUCGAGCUUGUGCUUCGAUACAUUAGCUUUUUCUAAUGCUGGCCAUUUCAUUGAUAUUUUGUUGAACCAUUUGUGUGUGCAUUCUGUAGCUUCACUACCUUCCUGCUAUGGUUCUUCAUACAGAGUGUUGAUGCAUUUGUUGAUACUCUAUUGCAGGACAAGUUCAGGCAGAAAGAAUGUUUCUCGAAGUUUGGAAUUCCGUUUACCUAACUUUGUUCAGGAUUUCUUUACACUUUUGGAUUGUGAUGCCUCCAAUUACUUAUGUCGCCGCUGCGUCUGCCGCCUUCGAGCUGGGGGACCGUGGCCUUGCUGUCGCCGCACUUGCCUGCCAUUCAUGCCGUGUCUGAGCGAGGUCCCUCCAAACCUGGUUAUUUGUUUGUACUUUAUUGGGGGCAUAUAUGGUACAGAUCUUUUCGUUCAUACUUUCACAAAUGUUCUCUCCAUCUUAAUAUAUAACCAUUUCUACGUUACACUGACUGCAAUUUUAAAAUAGUUAGGCCGUUCGGUUCCAUACAUGUUUGCACUAACUGCCGGCCUACUGUACAAUGGUAUGAAAUUAUAGCUAUGAAAAUAAGAAGUUUGUUAAUCAAUAGAUUAAUAUUAACAGUACAUACAGAAUUACCCAGGGUCCCUCGCAUAAUUCUCCCAGCCUCCCUUUACGUGCAAACCCAUCUUUCAAGACACGUGACUUAGAACGUUGCUUAGUUCUCAUGACUUUCCAUAUUAUUAUAGCAUCGCCGGGAAGGCCUUCUAGCAUUGUUUGGGUCUCCUAGCGAACAGUUAUAUUUUGUUUCAUAAGGCCUCCUAGCAAACAGAGGCUAAAAACUUUGAGAUACAAGUCUUAAGUUUCAUAAAAAAACCAGGCAUGCAUUUUCUUGGCAUCACCCUUCUGUUAUGUCAUAAAGUCCUUAUUCUUCUUUCUAUUAUUCUUCCAUUGAAUUCCUUUGUGAGCAUGGCUUUUACGCUCGGAAUUGUCUAUUUUGCAAUUUGCAAAUAGUGACAUUAGUAUUUCAUUCUAUAUGGUAUAUGAUCAUAUAGUCUGCUAUCUGGUUAUGCUCCUCUACGCUUAUUUAUACAAGUACUUAGAUUAUGCACCUCUGUAGGAACAUAUCUCACUCUCACUUUUCUAGGCCAUUUUGAUGAUCUCACAAAGGGAGAUGUAAAAAGCCAUUUAAUGUCACUAUAUUUAGACCCUUGCUGAUUAUACAUAUAUGUAUUGCGUAUUUGUUAUGCUCCUCUAUGCUUAUUUAUACAAGUACUUAGAUCAUGCACCUCUGUAGGAACAUAUCUCACUCUCACUUUUCUAGGCCAUUUUGAUGAUCUCACAAAGGGAGAUGUAAAAAGUCAUUUAAUGGCACUAUAUUUAGACCCUUGCUGAUUAUACAUAUAUGUAUUGCGUAUUUGCUCUCCAUAGUAGCAGAGGAGUUUAAUGUUCUGGUGUGACAAGUAAUAGAUGAAACCUUGGCUUAAUAAUUAUCUCUCUAACAUUUAGGAGCAUAAAGACACUGUGCUGAAGUAAGUGUUCUUGAUUAUAUAGCAAUGGUUUUGCAGGUUGUAUAAUUGUGGUGUCAUUAUCUGUGGGUCUUUUGAGGUAACUCCACCAUUCAUUUAAAUACACUGGGUUUCUCCCUGAAUUUUUUCCGAGAGUUUUUGCCAGAUUGGCCUAGCUUAACAGUGAAGAUUCAAACAAGUGAGUUAAAACUCACAGUUAUGUAACUCUGUGUUAUUAUUUAUUUCACUUUAAAGUUCAUUUUUUUUUA
Lolium perenne is the source of this 2966-nucleotide non-coding RNA. The record is from RefSeq and is a predicted model, not a curated record. Lineage: Eukaryota; Viridiplantae; Streptophyta; Magnoliopsida; Poales; Poaceae.